GACGAACGCUGGCGGCGUGCUUAACACAUGCAAGUCGAACGGAAAGGCCCUGCUUUUGUGGGGUGCUCGAGUGGCGAACGGGUGAGUAACACGUGAGUAACCUGCCCUUGACUUUGGGAUAACUUCAGGAAACUGGGGCUAAUACCGGAUAGGAUCUCCUGCUGCAUGGUGGGGGUUGGAAAGUUUCGGCGGUUGGGGAUGGACUCGCGGCUUAUCAGCUGGUUGGUGGGGUAGUGGCUUACCAAGGGUUUGACGGGUAGCCGGCCUGAGAGGGUGACCGGCCACAUUGGGCCUGAGAUACGGCCCAGAAUGCUACGGGAGGCAGCGGUGGGGAAUAUUGCACAAUGGGCGGAAGCCUGAUGCAGAAACGCCGCGUGCGGGAUGACGGCCUUCGGGUUGUAAACCGCUUUCGACUGUGCCGAAGCGUGAGUGACGGUAAUGGGUAAAGAAGCACCGGCUAACUACGUG
This 468-nucleotide ribosomal RNA is filed under the name uncultured bacterium. RNAcentral describes it as "partial 16S ribosomal RNA". It matches the Rfam family "Bacterial small subunit ribosomal RNA", at positions 28 to 507 of the family's 1533-position model. The record is from RNAcentral.